AUAACCGCAAGGCUUAAGAGGAGGGGUGAGAAAAAAAAGUCGUAUAAAAGGCGAGAGAAAAGUCGACAGGGAUCAGUCGAGCGAGUAUCUCCGACACGGUAACAUCUGCAUUCCACUAUCUGCCAUCAGCUGCAUUCUUCAUCGUACUAUCAGUUCUAAAUCAUGGUAAACUAUGCUGGCGUGCUGUUGUUGGGUGUUGUGUCGUUGAUGGCUGGUUCAGCCACUGGCGUACCGAUGUAUCCUGGGUAUGGUGGAUACCAAAGCACUACACUGCCGCCUUAGUACACAACUUACGACACAACCAGUUGCUACACCGAUGCCCCCCAAGUACUUCACCACCAUGCUGCCCCAAGCUACUACACCGAAUCCCCACAGUAUUAUUCUUCUCCGAGCUACAUUACUAAAGGGUAGAGUACUACACCGAGGCUCCCCAACACUACACGACCAAGGCACCUGAGUACUAUACCACUACAUAUCAUGGUAAUGAAGGAGAGAAAAGGUGAAAGAUUUCAGCAGCCGAUUGAGCAUCUCCGUUACGGCAACAGGAACUGCCGUGCACUAUUUGUCAUCAACUUCAUUCUUCGUCGCAUUAAAAGUUUUAAAUAAAGUAAACUAUGGCGUCGUGCUGCUGUUGGGCGUUGUAUCGUUGAUGGGUGGUUCAGCCAUGGUGUACCGAUGUCUCCUGGGUAUGGCGGGUACUAAAGCACUACACUGCCGUGCCGUCUAACUAAUUAGCAUCAACUUCCGCUGCUCCAGCUUACUACACUGAGGUUUACAAGUGCUACACCACCAUGGAUCCAGAGUAUUACACCACAGCUCAUGUUGCCCCGAGCUACACUACCAAAGGGUCGAGAACUACGUCGAGGCUCCCAAGUACUACAUCACCAAGGCACCGGAGUACAAAAACGGUUGAAUACUACACAGAAGUUAUUAUGAGAAACUAUGGUGUCGUGCUGCUGUGAGUGUUGUAAUCAUGAUGGCUGGAUCGACCAAUGGUGUGCCGAUAUCUCCUGGGUAUGGUGGGCAAUCAACAACAACAUACGCAACAACCGCUUACUACACUGGGACCUGCAAGUGCCAAACCACCAAGGCUUCAGAGUAUUACACCACAGUUUAUGUUGGCACGAGCUACUACGCAGAAGCUCCGGAAUAAUUUUCUUCCCCGCUUCACUACCUUCACCACGCCGCCUCCUUACUAAACAACAACAACAACGUCGUCAACACCUACUUACUAAACGAACGCCUCCAAGUGCUACGCCAUAAAGGCUUCGACUACUACAACGAGGAUCAAACUUGUCACACAACUGAAGCGCCCAAGUACUGCACUACAACCUACGUUGCUCCAGCUUACACCACGAAGGGAGCGGAGUACAACACCACGAAGGGAGCGGAGUACAACACCACGAAGGGAGCGGAGUACAACACCACGAAGGGAGCGGAGUACAACACCACGAAGGGAGCGGAGUACAACACCACGAAGGGAGCGGAGUACAACACCACGAAGGGAGCGGAGUACAACACCACGAAGGGAGCGGAGUACAACACCACGAAGGGAGCGGAGUACAACACCACGAAGGGAGCGGAGUACAACACCACGAAGGGAGCGGAGUACAACACCACGAAGUAUGCUACCAUUUUACACCGAAGCUCCUGAGUAUUACACCAAAGAGAUUGCAUAUUUCGCUUCAACCCGCGCUGCCCUCAGUUGCUAUACCGAGGUUCCCAAGUACUACACCACCAAGGCACCCGAGUAUCACACCACAAACGCUUCCGGAUUUUACUACAAGGAGAUUUCUAAAUGCUAGAGCCGAUAGAUCUAUUUUAUUUUUUUUAAAUUGGUUGCUUGUCUUCAUGAUCAUUGGUCACUGGGAAUUAACUGUUGAUCUUAAAUGAGAAAAUAAAAAUUCUAAUAAGGGUAA
RNAcentral lists this long non-coding RNA (1919 nucleotides) under Daphnia pulex (common water flea). RNAcentral's name for it is "uncharacterized LOC124198787, transcript variant X1". Lineage: Eukaryota; Metazoa; Arthropoda; Branchiopoda; Diplostraca; Daphniidae. The record is from RNAcentral.